Equus caballus (horse) is the source of this 5931-nucleotide long non-coding RNA. NCBI's taxonomy places the organism in Eukaryota, Metazoa, Chordata, Mammalia, Perissodactyla, Equidae. The record is from Ensembl.
UCAGCAAUGGGGAUUGUUCUGCCACAUCGUGCUGCUUAAGUCUGGGAGCCAGGGUGGGAGGUACUGGGUUACAAGAAGGGAACAGGUGUGAGGGGUGACAACAUACUCAUUCAGCUUUGGACUCGUGCCUGUGGGGGUCCUGUAGGAGAUCUUGCGGACCUGUGCAGUGGGCCGUCGGAAAGGCAAGCCUGACCCUUUCAAGAGAGGUCAGGCCUGGAGACCAAGGGUGAGGCCCCUCCAUAAAGAGAAGGUGGUUGAAGCCCAUGGAUUAGAUGCUUGUGAAGAGCACAGAGUGGGAAGAGAAAGGAGCAGUGACAGAACCAUGAGAAGCACAAUAGAGGGCGGGGAGAGGCAGACCUGACAUGGGGCAGACUCAAAUCCCGCCCUCAUGGACCUUACAGAGCUGCCACAAGCAUUCGUAAUUCUUAUCUAAGCAGACAGGGUCAAGUGACUAAGAGAGGACCAAGGACCUCAUUUCCAGGAGUGAGGCCAGGAAGACUCCAUGAAGGAGGGUGUUUUAACCAGGCUUUGGACCAAGCGCGGGAUGAGGACUGGCAAGAGAUGGUUAGACACACAAAGGCAAGGAGGCUUCAGGAUGUCUGGGAAACUGUGAGAAGUUGGUUAAUAUCUGGUCAGAGGUACUCACAGAAUAAUGCAGAAUUGGAUUAGAAUUCAAAAGCAUUUAAAAAAAUGUGUGAGCCACAGAAUGAAGUUUAGGGAGACUCAAAACUGUGUACUAUUGCUGCAGACACUGAGGCAGAUUAGUGUGCAGGACGACUGUUUCGGAGAGGUGCUGAAGGAAACGCCUGGAGAAGGGGAGAGAAGGAAGCAGGAUUAGGCGUAGGAGAGGUUGGGAGGUGCUGAGGUCUCACUAGUGGCCUCAGGUGACCUCAUGGGGAGCUCGGGAGCUUGGUCAGCCCUGCAGAGCAGUUCCGCACUGGGAAGUCUAGUGGGUUGAAUAGUGGCCCCCAAAAUAUAUGUCCAAGUCCUAACCCUCGGUACCUGUGACUGUGACUUUAUUUGCAUGUAAUUAAGUUAAGCAUCCUGGGGUGUGAUCAGCCUGUGUUUAGGGUGAGCCAAAUCUAAUGACCAGCAUCUUCAUGGGAGAAAGGAGAGGGAGAUUCCACACUCAGACACACAUGGGAGUGGGCCGUGUGAAGACAGGAGCAGAGACUGGGGUGACGCCUCUACAAGCAGAGGCAGCCAAGGAUUGCCUCAGCCACCAGAAACCAGGAGAGAGGCACGGAACAGGCUCUUCCCCAGAGGCUCCAGAAGGAACCAGCCUGCUGAUUUCAGGCUUCCACCUCCAGAAUGGCGAAAGAAUACAUUCUAUUGUUUUCAGCUGCCCAGUUUGUGGUAAUCUGUUUUGGCAGCCUUAGGAAAUGAAUACAGGAGGCCAGGCCUUUUUACCCAGUACGAUCUGUCGUUGGAUGUGGGCUGCCCCGGAAGGAAGCACGAUCCUGGGCGAGCCAGUUUUCUUCAGCAGAGGUGAUCCCCAAAGAGAGCUGACAGCUGAGCACCCUUGUCUGGCAGCACUCCCAGCAGCCUGGGGAAUAAGUUCUCCCUUCCUGAAGGGGGUCUGGAUGACGCAUGACAGCAGCUACUUCUCUGUCCUUCAGUUUCCCCAUCUGCAUAAUGGGAAUAACAAUAAGACCUAUCUUGUAUGGUUGCUAGGAGACAAAAUUAGGUGGGAAUACCCAUGGCUAACAUUUAUUGAGCGCUUACUUUAUAUCUGUCAGGCACACCUGUCCAGAAGUUCAUACUUGUAUGUUGCCCUGCAUAUGGUAAGCACCCAGGAAACAGUAGCUAUUAUCAGAGGGGAGGUGUUCAAGGUCACACAGCUGCCAGAGCCAAGAUCGGAACCCAGAUUUCCUGACUCUCAGGCAAAUGUCCCUUCUUUGAUAAUAGAUCCCCUCUCUGCAUGGGCCUAAUCGUGUCUUCUUUUCAUGACACUAAUAGUGUUUUUAUGCAAUGAAGCAAAAUUUGUGUUUCACAAAAGAAAUGUCAUUUUGCCUUGUCAUCUGAAGGGAAGAGCUUUGAGUUGUCUGAAAUUCAUUCGCACUCUCCGAGCCUCUAGACUUUAUAUGACCAAAGACAUUAAUUUGUGAGACAGGCUGGGGUGGGAGGGGCGGCUGGGUCUGGGCAUGGGUCCCUGCUGCCUACAGCUAAUUGGCUUCACAGGCUCCACAUCCCAGCAUCUGCUGACAGGGCAUUCCUGAGACUGGGGAGAGGCCAGACACUAUCGUUUGAAAGAGGACAAAGUGAAGGACAGAGAGAUUAGCCGAUUUGCCCUCUUAAUUAUGUGGUGAGCUGGAGAUGGAGCCAAGAAUUGAAUCCAGAUUUCUCAAGUCCCAGAUGGGUUUUUUCAUCAGAGGUCCUGCCACAUUCCUUCUCUUGGAACUGCCCCCUCUCUGGAUCCCAGAAACACAUACCUGGGUUGAGUUUGGGGGCGUGUGAUUGUGUGUUACUGCUCCCUUCACAUUAUACGAAUUCUUAAAAAGAAAGAAAGAAAAAGCUCUUACCCUUAGAAAACGGUCACUUACUUGAGACUAGCAUAGAUGAUAUAUAGAUUGCUGAAAUGCUCUUAACCACAUCUAUUUUUCGAGAAUUUUGGCUUGGCAUGUCCAGCACCCUAACAGAGCGCUCUUCAAUUUGACCCGUGCAUUUCUUUCCAGAAGAAUUUGCAUAUAGAAGCAUUAUACAAGUUAUUAAUGUUAAAAGGAAUUUUCUCCUCUAUUCAAAAAUUCGAGAUAAAAUUCACAUUGACACAGUCUGGGACUACAAAUGAGCAGUGGCUAUCCAAAAAUUUCCAUAUGCAAACUUCCCCACACAGAGGGCACUUUAGGAACAACACUGUGGGCUUUUACCACUAGAGGGCUUGACCUAAAUUACACACUUAAAAAGAUUGUUCCAAGGGACUGGCCCAGCAGAGCGGUUAACUUCAUGCUCUCCACUGCAGUGGCCUGGGGCUCACUGGUUUGCAUCCUGGGUUUGGACCAGUGCACUGCUUAUCAAGUCAUGCUGUGGCAGGAGUCUCACAUAUAAAAUAGAGGAAGGUGGACACAGAUGUUAGCUCAUGGCUAAUCUUCCUCAAAAAAAAAAAAAAAAAAUUGUUCCAAAUACAGUUGUCACACAUUUCCAGAUUUUCAGGUAGUUAACUUCCCAACAAGGUAACUUGCCACAGAUUCCUGUUACUGUUGGCUUUAGAUACAUACAUAUCCCUGUGAUGUGCUCCCCUCCUCCAACCAAAUUCUAUAUUUUAAAAGUAUCAAUGAUACAAGAAAUAAACCAGUUUGCUGACUUUGAUCUAACUGGUUACUGGCCACACUGUUUUGGUGACUCUUUCUGUGAAACUGCCAAGCUAAAUGCCAUCUCGUGAGGCUGCUGGGCGAUCAUCCUGCUUGGCCUCCCCUGUCAGCUCCUUUGCCCCAGCCUGGAUCUUCUCGGGAAACAGAUUUCUCUUUGUGUCUUCCUGUGCUGGUGGGCAGAAGGGGGUUUGGUCAUUCUUUCCUUCGAAGAGCUGAGAAGUUCUUUAAGACAGCAAACAGCUAGAUGGUUUGUUUGACUGGCCAGUCAUUCAUUCACUUAUUCAACUGAUAUUCACUGACACCUAUUACAUUCCAGGCACUGAAAGAGAACACAGGGCUGAUUCCUUGACCUUUUGCAGUUCAUAGUCUAGUGAGGAAUACGAAUAAUUACAAAGGUAAGAAGGGUCAUGGAAGGGUGGUAUGGAAGCAUGAAUUCUACUCACUCGUCCUCCAAAACUACCUUUCACUCUCCUCCGCUCGAAAGAGACCACAUCUUGAUGAAAUUAUUACAGCGUAUCACCAGGUAAUGCUGUGUUAUCUCAACUCUCGGGUUUAAAAGGGUGUUCCCUUUGGGCUCCACUUGAAGCAAAAAUAAAUGUAUUAGCAAGAGAGUAAUAAAAGUGCUCUGUGGAAGAGUCCUGGGCUCUUAUAUCAAGACAUAUGGGGUGGCAGGGGUGGGGAAGGUGGGGAGACAGGAGUGGGAGCAUGGAGCUUCCUCCUUUGCUAUGAACAAGUUGAGUGCUUGGCCAAGUCGCUUAACUUGUUAAGAUUUGAAUUGUCCAGUUUCUAAAAUGAAGGUGUUGGACCUGGUCAACAUCUCCCAAAGUGUUUCUCUUAAAACAGAAAUCCUGAGAAAAAUGAGUUUAGGAAAUGCAGCCCAAUCUUUGCUGCCCUUCACUCACCAUCCCGUGGGAAUUCAAAAUCACCUUAACAUAUUAAAGGUUUCGAGAGGUCCUAGAGUAAAAAGCCUGUUUAACUUUAUUUAACUCAGCGUUUCCCAGAUGUAUUUGCCUGGAGAUCCGAUUUUAUGUGAUACCUAUUAAUAUAGAAAUGUUAGCCUAGAUGUUCAUUGAAAAGCCAAUAAACAUUCAUUGAGUGCUUACUUGGUGCAAGGAAGUUACCUCUCGGGCUGUAUCACAUGAGUUUAUGAAUCUUAUGAUUUAAUCAAAUAAACAGUGGAGGUGGAGAUUUUUCUGUAGAUAGCACUUUCUAAUUAAUCUGUACACAGUUCCCAGGAGUGACUUCCUUCCUUCCAGAGGGCACUGUUUAGUAUCGUUAGUGGUUUUUCACAUCAGUGCCAAAUUUUUUCUUCACAUUGUACUGGAGUUCAAAUCAGAUUUAAUUCUUUACAUUAAUAUAUGAACAGUAGAGGGUAAGUGGUGUUGACCUUGUGGUGAUCCUAACUGCCCGGCAGAUCCUAGCUCAGAGGAUGGACCAGGCUUCAGAUGCACAAGACUUCUUUGGAAUGUUCAUGGAAACUUUAUUUACUCAUUGGUGCUUUCUUUGGUUUCUAGGUGCGUUGACAAUUUGGGUAAAAUUCGGUUAGUUUUGGGAAGGAGGCACUUUUAGUACGUAUUUCUUUUGUACAGCGGAUUAAAAACAAAAUCCCCAUCUGGUCAUCUGGUCAGCUCAAAAAUGUACUCAUUUCGUCUUCCGCCACUUUCACACGAAGGGGAAGGACAUCGUGUGUCUUUAAAAUGUUCUCCCAGGUGUCUUAUUCUGCAGAAACUUUAGGAAGAAAGACUCUUUUACAGCCCUCAGCACUGUUAUUGCGUGAACUGGCUCAGCAUGGCCGGCCCAGUGAAGGACGCCAGUGGUAGUAACCGGGGAAGAGGGAUCCCCUGGCUCUUCUUACCAAACUUCUUCGAUCGUUUGGAGUGGUUUGGCCAUCAGUUAGUCAGGAAGAGGCCAGAAGGACACGUGCUGAUAAUGCUUCAAGAAAGUUAAACUUUAGGAAAAACUCGACCGAAGUAAAAAUAGCUAUGUAGUCAGUGACCAAAGCUACUUGGAUGGUCCUGUUGAUUGCUCUUGUGCAUUUUAUCACACGAAUACAGGCUUUCCCCUAAAAGUUGAAAAUAAAGAAGGGAAAUGUGAUGAAUGGCAUAUAUUACCUCCAGAGAGCCUAAACUCUCAUGCAUUAAAAGUUAGUAUCUGCCAGGGAUCGUCCUCAAUAUUUAUGACCCACUCUGGCAUUAAGAGUGUGACACGCAGAAGGCCGUCUUCAUUAGAGGCUGGCUAAAUAACUAUUGGAAGCUUGUUACCUGGUGCUUAUCAGAGCACACUUCGUGAAAUAGUUAUGUACACUCUUGUUCCUCCUCCCCUGACUAGACUGCACACUCACGGGCUGGGUCUGGCACAGAGGCUGCCCUUUUCAAAUGCUUUGAUUAAGAGGUCCUAGUUCUGCUCUGGUAAUUUUGGGAGGAGAAAGCUUUAGACCAGCCACAAUGUCUCCAUUUGUCCAGUUUUAAAUCUAGGAUGUGAUAAUCGUAGCCAACAUUCCUUGAGAUCUUAUUCAAUACAAAGCAUUGUAUUAGGAGCCACAUUAAAGAAAUACACGUAUAUAAUAUGAAAAGUCACAUAGAACUAGAAGGUUUAUAAUGAAAAAUAGCAAUCCCUUUUCCAG